AUUGACGAGAAUGACUACCAAACGAAAUUCCGUAAUGUCGUGAAGUUUCUGGGUGAAGGCGAUAAAGUGAAAUGUUCUGUUCGUUUCCGUGGACGUGAAAUUACACAUGCAUCUGUCGGCCAGAAGAUUCUGGAUCGGCUUGCAAUCGAAGUUGCUGACUUGUGUGUCAUGGAGCGUGUACCGAAGCUUGAGGGUCGCAGCAUGAUCAUGAUUCUAGCACCGAAAGCGACUUAAUAAUCAAUCAUUGAGGAGGAUCAUCAAAAUGCCUAAAAUGAAAACACAUAGCAGUCUUAAAGACCGCUU
RNAcentral lists this unclassified non-coding RNA (303 nucleotides) under Paenibacillus sp. OV219. RNAcentral's name for it is "Long range pseudoknot". The record is from RNAcentral. Lineage: Bacteria; Bacillati; Bacillota; Bacilli; Caryophanales; Paenibacillaceae.